This is a long non-coding RNA of Eutrema salsugineum, 930 nucleotides long. RefSeq lists it as uncharacterized. NCBI's taxonomy places the organism in Eukaryota, Viridiplantae, Streptophyta, Magnoliopsida, Brassicales, Brassicaceae. The transcript is spliced from 3 exons. The record is from RefSeq and is a predicted model, not a curated record.
UUUUCAUCUCCAGCGUCGACGUCCUUGUCAUCACCACCAUUGUCGUCUUUGCUGCCAUCUUCAUCACCUUCUCUUCUUGUUUGACAGUUUCAUUCUUGCUCUUCUCUCUUGUUCUUUUGCCUUACACUUCUCUUUCUUAUGCAGGCUUCUUCUUCUAUCUCCCUCAGCAACCACUUCCAUCUUCUCUCCAUUUCAGUGGCUGAAAGGUCUUCAACGUUGGAAGGCUCCAAGGAUAACCUGGCUCUGAUACCAUGUUGACAUUCUUCACACUCUCUCUUUUGUUCACUCAGCUCAUGACCCAACCAUGAGGAUCACGACCCAUGUCGGCGAACUCAUGGAAUAAGCGGUGGAAGGAGCGGAGGCUCGGGGUGGUGCAGCGGCGGCUCAGCCUGGAAACAGAAUCAGCGGUGUGUGCGAGAGUAUCGGCAAGCUCAGCACAGACGAGGCUGAGGUAGAAGGUCUCGUCACCAUUGACGAUCUUGGUGAGGCCUUCUAAGGAAAGAGAGUGAUCACGGAGAGUGAUGAGAUUAGAGUCGGUGAGAGAGUGAGUGAGGUGGAGGAGUUUGGUCAUGACACGUGCUACCUCGAACGAUAAAACUCCGACGGAGGAGGAAGUGGUGGUGGUGGUGAUCGGAGGAGAUGGCCGGAUUUGUCGACGAGAAGUGGGUUUGGAGGAAAUGGCGUUUUUGAGUUUUAUUAGGAAAGUUUCGAGAGCCAUUGGAGAAGCAAAGCAAAGCCAAAGUGAGAAUGAUUUGAUUUGAAGGAAGUAAAUGGAGAUGUAGUGAGAUUUGAGAUUAUAUUCUUUCUUCUUCUAGGGGAAUAACAAAGUUGAUGCGUGAAUGGCUCGUGGGGUGUUCAAGCCAUCAUUACACUUUAGGAUUUUUGAAAAACAAAAACGGUAUUUUCGAAUAGAAAUAGAUAAUGCAUUUU